Long non-coding RNA from Teleopsis dalmanni, 317 nucleotides. RefSeq lists it as uncharacterized. The record is from RefSeq and is a predicted model, not a curated record. Lineage: Eukaryota; Metazoa; Arthropoda; Insecta; Diptera; Diopsidae. The transcript is spliced from 2 exons.
AAUAGUCUACCGCAAGAUCUUAAGAAAAUCGUUAAUGAAGUGGAAAGUGGAAAGCGAAUAAUUGUUGACAACGACGGGGAUUAUAUACAAAUUCCAAACUGCGGAAAGAGAUCUGCACAAAAAAAAGUUAUCGAGCAGGAGCAGCCACUACAGGAACCACCAACACCAACCCCAUUGAAUAAAUUGCCUGUUUUAUGUUCCGUACUGCUAACUUGCAUCGUUAUAGUAAUUAUUUUGUAUCUCUACUGAAACGAUAUUAAGUUGGAUCUUCAGAAGCGUCUAUUCUUGAUGGGUUAUAAGAAAAUCGUUUUCACACA